Molecule: transfer-messenger RNA, 355 nt
Filed under: Dehalococcoidales
Lineage: Bacteria; Bacillati; Chloroflexota; Dehalococcoidia
Also listed under: 1 other name
Description: g UBA3254 X2 Standard tmRNA
Rfam family: transfer-messenger RNA
About the family: Bacterial tmRNA, also known as 10Sa RNA or SsrA, is named for its dual tRNA and mRNA-like properties.
Source: RNAcentral
GGGGACGCGUGGCUUCGACAGGAGAAGUGAGCUACGGAAUUGCAAGCCGAGUUGCCAUCAACUCGUAAAUAAGAUGGCAAAAAAUAACCAACGAAGAACCAGUAAUGGUUGCUGCCUAAAUAACAGGUAGCACAUCCAACCCAACCUCACCCCGACGGGUUGGGAUUGGGUGUCGAAAAGCCGGGGUGCCAUCGUCUAGACCGCCGAUAAGGACGGUGAAAGAUCAAUCGGCUGGUCCGGCAGCACUUAGUCGUGAGAGGGCUACCGGAUAAGAUUCAAAGGAACGACUAAGCUUGUAGUACAUUCCGGGCAGCUUCUUUUGGACGGGGAGUUCAACCCUCCCCCGUCUCCACCA